UACAGGGGGGGCAAGCGUUGUUCGGAAUUACUGGGCGUAAAGGGUCUGUAGGUGGCCAACUAAGUCAGACGUGAAAUCCCUCAGCUUAACUGGGAACUGCGUCUGAUACUGGAUGGCUUGAGUGUGGGAGAGGAAUGCGGAAUUCCAGGUGUAGCGGUGAAAUUCGUAGAUAUCGAGAGGAACACCGGUGGCGAAGGCGGCCAACUGGACAGAUACUGACGCUGAGACACGAAAGCGUGGGGAGCAAACAGG
Molecule: ribosomal RNA, 252 nt
Filed under: uncultured bacterium
Lineage: Bacteria
Description: partial 16S ribosomal RNA
Rfam family: Bacterial small subunit ribosomal RNA
Source: RNAcentral